GGGACAGUAGGCCGGGCAGGGAUGUGAGGAUGAUGGAUUUCCAAGGAUGUGCUGCUUGUCCCUGCACCAGAGGCAGGUGUUUGUGCAGGAUGAGCACUGGCACAGGGUGAGCUGUCCCAGCCUGCGCCCUCCCGACGGGGUGGAGGAGGAAAGUCCCCGUGGAUGGAGGCAAGCGAUCGCCUGAAUAUUCAUGUAUCGGCAGGCAAGCUACAGCAGGCCCUCGUUACAAACUGCUACCCAAACUGCCUACAUCCAUAAACAAGGGAAAUAAAUAAACAGAUGCUUGUUAAUUGACUUAAUUACCCACCAGCAAACAGGAGACCGGGAGCACAUCAAUAAAAGUGUUUUAAAAAGCAACUCGUAGUAAUUCUUUUCCAUAUGCAAACCACGCCGGUCUCUUCUGUCUACAACAGACUCCCCAAAGACGAGAAAUGGAUUUUCAUUAUGUGGGAAGGAGAGAUCAAAGUCUGAAAAUUAGGGUUGUAGCCCAAAAUGAAGCCCAGGAGUUAUUGCAAAUAAUCUUCCUUGAUCAAGAGAAGUCCCGCAGCUGAAGUAACCCUCCAGCAAGGACCAAAAGAUGCUCAAGCGAAAGGGAAAUGUGGAAGGAUCUGUCUCCCAUUGUAAUGCAGCCAUGUCCAACCUGAGUAUAGGGAUAACUCCUAUGCACUCCUGAUGGGGCUGAUGCCCACCAUGAAUCCUCUGGAGUGCAUAAACAUGAAGUAUCUCCCAAGCUGGAGGCUUGUGGCCAGACUCUUGAUCUUAUUCCUGGGGUGGAUGCAUGG
This is a long non-coding RNA of Oxyura jamaicensis (ruddy duck), 782 nucleotides long. RefSeq lists it as uncharacterized. The record is from RefSeq and is a predicted model, not a curated record. Lineage: Eukaryota; Metazoa; Chordata; Aves; Anseriformes; Anatidae. The transcript is spliced from 3 exons.